Molecule: non-coding RNA, 1663 nt
Organism: Nelumbo nucifera (sacred lotus)
Lineage: Eukaryota; Viridiplantae; Streptophyta; Magnoliopsida; Proteales; Nelumbonaceae
Source: RefSeq, a predicted model, not a curated record
UGUUUCUCAUGGGUUUAAUUUACUGGCUACUGUGUACUGCUUAGCCCAAGCUAAGCAUCUUUCUGAAAAUGAAGGUUUUUCAGAAAAAAAAAAUGAUUAUUCAUUGCUUAUGAUCAACAAGGGAAAACCCAGUCUGAGUCUUCCAUGUCUACAACCUUUCUGCUAGAAAGUUCAUUAGAUCAUAGAAUGUUGUUUACUUCUCCAGGCUGCCAAUGAUCUAGUGUCAUCAACAGGUCGAUCCUUUAAUGGGCUUUUGGCAUGUUAAUUACCACCCCCAUCUGCUCACUUCUCUCUGCCCCUCUGUAGCCAAACAGUCUGCUACUCUGCUUAGAUUUUGGCUUAGAUUUCCUCACUGCAUUGAGAUACUUGUUUGUGCCAGUGCUUUUGCCUGUGGACCUGAACCAAAAGCACUGAUACUAGACUACCGGAGGCAGGAUCCAACACCUUUCAAUUCUGAUCCCAAUUCGAUUAUGUCAAUAAUAGAAUGAGAACUACUGGGAAUUCGGAUCAAGCAAAGGAGAACUUUUUACGGUGGUCUUCCAGUACCAGAUAGACUGUGGCUUGAUUAGUAUACAGAAAAAAGUGGGUGAGGUAUUUUCAGUGUCAAAAGGUGAAGAAGUACCACUCGUUUGCCUUUGAUACUGAGCUCAUACAUGUGUUGCCUAGGUAUGAACAAUCAAUACACAUCUCACAGUAAUAAAUAACAAUUGCUUUUUAUAUUUUCAGUUAUAUGUAGCAACUGGGUUUCUAAGGAUUGAAGGAAUGAACAACCCAUUAAUGCUGAUGAGGGGAGCUUGUCUUCUGUGAAAAAUUUUAAGGGCAUUGAUGUCCGAACUGCUGCCUCUACCAUGUUGAGAUCUAAGGCCACUCACGAAACAGCUUGGGACUGAGCUUUACAUAACUGUCCAUGUUGUCUGAGAUUAGAAGGCUUCAGCUUCCAAGGAAGAGCAUAAAAGGUUUUGCAGAAGAAAAUGUCUCAACAGUUCGACUGGAGUUGUCCUCUGGAACCAGACAGCCAUUAUUGUAUUUUAGAUUACAUUUAGAGACUUGUGCCAGUGCUUUGACUGCUGGGGACCUGAUCAGCUAGCUGCUGAAGUAGUUGUUAGAGACCAUUGGGACAUGUUUGGGUUCAGAAGAGAAGAAUUGGAACUCAUUCAUGAUCCUAUUUUGGGCUCUACAGGAGAAAACUAAUGUCUUGUGCAUUGUCUCAAGGGAGAAAUAUAAUUGGAUGAAACACACAAGACAGUAGGGCAACUUGAUUAAUUGGGGCAAUGGUGUAUAUCCAAGCUGGUGACUGUUUAUGGUCUUGAAUAACUCUUGGUAAUUCUACCUCUGAUCCCCUGCAAACAUUUUGCUAAGUAGUCAAGGAGCCUGUGGACAAAACUUUAGGGAGUUGAACAAAUGCUGAAUGUCCAGCCUCUGCCAAGUGGACAGUCAUGGUAACCUUAUUUUAUUGUUUUUUCAUUUUUAUUUAUUUAUUUAUAUUUGUGGUAGCCUUGCCUUUUUUUAAUAUAUAGUAGAAUUUAGAAGAUAUUUGCUAAUAUGGCAAUUGCUGAUGUGACAGUUGUUUUUGUUUUGAAAGCCUUACAUUUGCUUUAUACUAGCGAGGACCCGUACGAUAUACGGGAUUUGUCAAGGGAAAGUUAAAGAAUAGAAACUGAUA